Molecule: ribosomal RNA, 428 nt
Filed under: uncultured eukaryote
Lineage: Eukaryota
Description: bacterial SSU rRNA
Rfam family: Eukaryotic small subunit ribosomal RNA
Source: RNAcentral
CAAUAGCGUAUAUUAAAGUUGUUGCAGUUAAAAAGCUCGUAGUUGGAUUUCUGGCUGGAGCGAUCGGUCCGCCCCGCAAGGGGUGUGUACUAGCGUCGUCUCCGACCAUCCUUGUGGGAACUGUGCGGCCGUUAACUCGGUUGUAUAUGGGAACACAUCGUUUACUGUGAAAAAAUUAGAGUGUUCAAAGCAGGCUUAGGCCGUUGGAUACAUUAGCAUGGAAUAAUGAGAUAGGGCCACGACGGUCUAUUUUGUUGGUUUGCACGUUGUGGUAAUGAUUAACAGGAACGGUUGGGGGUAUUCGUAUUCAAUUGUCAGAGGUGAAAUUCUUGGAUUUAUGGAAGACGAACUACUGCGAAAGCAUUUACCAAGGAUGUUUUCAUUAAUCAAGAACGAAAGUUAGGGGAUCGAAGACGAUUAGAUACCAU